Molecule: ribosomal RNA, 705 nt
Filed under: uncultured Pseudoalteromonas sp.
Lineage: Bacteria; Pseudomonadati; Pseudomonadota; Gammaproteobacteria; Alteromonadales; Pseudoalteromonadaceae
Description: bacterial SSU rRNA
Rfam family: Bacterial small subunit ribosomal RNA
Source: RNAcentral
CGAGCGGCGGACGGGUGAGUAAUGCUUGGGAAUAUGCCUUAUGGUGGGGGACAACAGUUGGAAACGACUGCUAAUACCGCAUGAUGUCUACGGACCAAAGUGGGGGACCUUCGGGCCUCGCGCCAUAAGAUUAGCCCAAGUGGGAUUAGCUAGUUGGUGAGGUAAUGGCUCACCAGGGCGACGAUCCCUAGCUGGUUUGAGAGGAUGAUCAGCCACACUGGGACUGGGACACGGCCCAGACUCCUACGGGAGGCAGCAGUGGGGAAUAUUGCACAAUGGGCGCAAGCCUGAUGCAGCCAUGCCGCGUGUGUGAAGAAGGCCUUCGGGUUGUAAAGCACUUUCAGUAAGGAGGAAAGGUUAAGUGUUAAUAGCACUUAGCUGUGACGUUACUUACAGAAGAAGCACCGGCUAACUCCGUGCCAGCAGCCGCGGUAAUACGGAGGGUGCGAGCGUUAAUCGGAAUUACUGGGCGUAAGGCGUACGCAGGCGGUUUGUUAAGCGAGAUGUGAAAGCCCCGGGCUCAACCUGGGAACUGCAUUUCGAACUGGCAAACUAGAGUGUGAUAGAGGGUGGUAGAAUUUCAGGUGUAGCGGUGAAAUGCGUAGAGAUCUGAAGGAAUACCGAUGGCGAAGGCAGCCACCUGGGUCAACACUGACGCUCAUGUACGAAAGGGUGGGGAGCAAACAGGAUUAGAUACCCUGGUAG